RNAcentral lists this ribosomal RNA (422 nucleotides) under uncultured bacterium. RNAcentral describes it as "bacterial SSU rRNA". It matches the Rfam family "Bacterial small subunit ribosomal RNA", at positions 355 to 774 of the family's 1533-position model. The record is from RNAcentral.
UGAGGAAUAUUGGACAAUGGAUGGAAAUCUGAUCCAGCCAUGCCGCGUGCAGGAAGACGGCCCUAUGGGUUGUAAACUGCUUUUGUAUGGGAGCAAUAAGGACUACGUGUAGUUUGAUGAGAGUACCAUACGAAUAAGCAUCGGCUAACUACGUGCCAGCAGCCGCGGUAAUACGUAGGGUGCGAGCGUUAAUCGGAAUUACUGGGCGUAAAGCGUGCGCAGGCGGUUUUGUAAGACAGAGGUGAAAUCACCGGGCUCAACCUGGGAACUGCCAUUGUGACUGCAAGGCUGGAGUGCGGCAGAGGGGGAUGGAAUUCCGCGUGUAGCAGUGAAAUGCGUAGAUAUGCGGAGGAACACCGAUGGCGAAGGCAAUCCCCUGGGCCUGCACUGACGCUCAUGCACGAAAGCGUGGGGAGCAAACA